Molecule: long non-coding RNA, 1620 nt
Organism: Apodemus sylvaticus (European woodmouse)
Lineage: Eukaryota; Metazoa; Chordata; Mammalia; Rodentia; Muridae
Exons: 4
Source: RefSeq, a predicted model, not a curated record
CUGUCACCAGCUUGACACUGUUUUAAGGAACCUAGAAAGGCUGCACUUGGCUCUGUCGUUGAUAGUAACGGCUUUUUGACACACGAAGAGCGAGCAGGAAGCUUCUCAGACACACUGUGGCCUUGUGGGAUGGGAACGGCUUCCCAGAGGAGGCUAGUGAUGUCAGGAAGAAGCAGGAGGUGUGUUUGAAGAGAGCAGAGAGGAAGGGGGAUGUGGUUUGGGUGGUGAGGUCUGUGUGGAGGACAGAGGCCACGGAUGGGCCACAGAGAAAGCCCUGAGCACAGGCUGCUGUCGUUAUGGCUGGGGUGACUGGAGAGGAGGGAGGCGCCAGCGCCCACAGAGAUGUGUGCUAGAGCGGCGGGAGCCCACCUUUUAGGAAGUGGCUGGGGGCAGAUGAUAAUCCUUUCGGUUAUUGGUGCUUGCUGCUGUGGGAGCAGGGCCUGUGGUCCUGUUUCUGUGUGUCCUUCCUGUAUGUUACUGACAACAGUGAGAACUCUGUUGUGUGUCCCAGGCCUGCUGAGAGUGACAGUCCGUAGUUGCAGGUCAAGGAAGAGGAGGGUGUUUUCCUCAAGCAUGCCCCCUUCUAUCUCAAUUCAGCUUAUAAGUCACUGAGAAGACAUUUUGGUGGUUUUAAUUUUUGUGAUUCCUGCCUCCCUUCCUGUUGUGUUUUUGCCAUGUGUUGGGGUGAAAUGCAUCCCUGUCAACAGUGUGCCCUGAUGAUGAGACAGCAUUGAAGGCCGCUUUUGUCUAAAUCACAAUGGCUGUCACUAACACCAAGGACUGGGAAGCCCAUGUCAUUCCAGGGCAGGACACAGUCCUGUUGUGUUCAUGCCUGACCUCUGUACUCUGUUCCACAUGUGACACUAAGUGGGCUGACUGGCUUUGCGAGAGAGCCCAGUGUGGGAUGAGAGCACAGGUGCGGGAUGAGAGCACAGGUGCGGGAUGAGAGCACAGGUGCGGGAUGAGAGCACAGGUGCGGGAUGAGAGCACAGGUGUGGGAUGAGAGCACAGGUGCGGGAUGAGAGCCCAGUGUGGGAUGAGAGCACAGGUGUGGGAUGAGAGCCCAGUGUGGGAUGAGAGCACAGGUGCGGGAUGAGAGCACAGGUGUGGGAUGAGAGCAUGGAUGAGAGCACAGGUGUGGGAUGAGAGCAUGGAUGAGAGCACAGGUGUGGGAUGAGAGCACAGGUGCGGGAUGAGAGCACAGGUGUGGGAUGAGAGCACAGGUGCGGGAUGAGAGCACAGGUGUGGGAUGAGAGCCCAGUGUGGGAUGAGAGCACAGGUGUGGGAUGAGAGCACAGGUGCGGGAUGAGAGCACAGGUGCGGGAUGAGAGCACAGGUGCGGGAUGAGAGCACAGGUGCGGGAUGAGAGCACAGGUGCGGGAUGAGAGCACAGGUGCGGGAUGAGAGCACAGGUGCGGGAUGAGAGCACAGGUGCGGGAUGAGAGCACAGGUGCGGGAUGAGAGCACAGGUGCGGGAUGAGAGCACAGGUGUGGGAUGAGAGCACAGGUGUGGGAUGAGAGCACAGGUGUGGGAUGAGAGCACAGGUGCGGGAUGAGAGCACAGGUGUGGGAUGAGAGCACAGGUGCGGGAUGAGAGCACAGGUGCGGGAUGAGAGCACA